GCGGGUAUAGCUCAAUGGCAGAGCACAUGCUUAGCAUGCAUAAGGUCCUGAGUUCAAUCCCCAGUACCUUCA
RNAcentral lists this transfer RNA (72 nucleotides) under Camelus bactrianus (Bactrian camel). It matches the Rfam family "tRNA". From Rfam's summary of the family: Transfer RNA (tRNA) molecules are approximately 80 nucleotides in length. Their secondary structure includes four short double-helical elements and three loops (D, anti-codon, and T loops). Lineage: Eukaryota; Metazoa; Chordata; Mammalia; Artiodactyla; Camelidae. RNAcentral also lists the same sequence under 2 other names. The record is from Rfam by way of RNAcentral.